CUGAGACUUCGAAUCUCGCGCGUGGCGCGGUUGCCCCUCGGGAGCCAGCCGACCAUGCCGGGACCUUCAGAACUUGAACACCCGACCUCUGUUGCCUCGGCGGAUUCGUCCGCCGCUGUGCCACUACAAACAACCGUAGUAAAAUAGUACGUCUGAGCUUCGAGCAACGAAUUA
RNAcentral lists this unclassified non-coding RNA (174 nucleotides) under uncultured fungus. RNAcentral describes it as "sequence contains ITS1". The record is from RNAcentral. Lineage: Eukaryota; Fungi.